Molecule: ribosomal RNA, 254 nt
Filed under: uncultured bacterium
Lineage: Bacteria
Description: partial 16S ribosomal RNA
Rfam family: Bacterial small subunit ribosomal RNA
Source: RNAcentral
UACGUAGGGGGCAAGCGUUGUCCGGAAUUAUUGGGCGUAAAGAGCUUGUAGGUGGUUUGUCGCGUCUGCUGUGAAAAUCCGAGGCUCAACCUCGGACUUGCAGUGGGUACGGGCAGACUAGAGUGUGGUAGGGGAGACUGGAAUUCCUGGUGUAGCGGUGAAAUGCGCAGAUAUCAGGAGGAACACCGGUGGCGAAGGCGGGUCUCUGGGCAGUAACUGACGCUGGAGGAGCGAAAGCGUGGGGAGCGAACAGG